GAUCUGGCUCAGGAUGAACGCUAGCGACAGGCUUAACACAUGCAAGUCGAGGGGCAGCACAGGGUAGCAAUACUUGGGUGGCGACCGGCGCACGGGUGAGUAACGCGUAUGCAACUUACCUAUCAGGGGGGGAUAGCCCGGCGAAAGUCGGAUUAAUACCCCAUGAAACAGGGGUCCCGCAUGGGAAUAUUUGUUAAAGAUUCAUGCUGAUAGAUAGGCAUGCGUUCCAUUAGGCAGUUGGG
RNAcentral lists this ribosomal RNA (242 nucleotides) under uncultured bacterium. RNAcentral's name for it is "partial 16S ribosomal RNA". It matches the Rfam family "Bacterial small subunit ribosomal RNA", at positions 15 to 253 of the family's 1533-position model. The record is from RNAcentral.